RNAcentral lists this ribosomal RNA (65 nucleotides) under Pseudomonas aeruginosa. RNAcentral's name for it is "partial 16S ribosomal RNA". It matches the Rfam family "Bacterial small subunit ribosomal RNA", at positions 1 to 65 of the family's 1533-position model. The record is from RNAcentral. RNAcentral also lists the same sequence under 5 other names. Lineage: Bacteria; Pseudomonadati; Pseudomonadota; Gammaproteobacteria; Pseudomonadales; Pseudomonadaceae.
GAACUGAAGAGUUUGAUCAUGGCUCAGAUUGAACGCUGGCGGCAGGCCUAACACAUGCAAGUCGA